This 826-nucleotide ribosomal RNA is filed under the name uncultured bacterium. RNAcentral's name for it is "bacterial SSU rRNA". It matches the Rfam family "Bacterial small subunit ribosomal RNA", at positions 601 to 1428 of the family's 1533-position model. The record is from RNAcentral.
CCCCGGGCUCAACCUGGGAACUGCGUUNUGAACUGGGUGACUAGAGUGUGUCAGAGGGAGGUAGAAUUCCACGUGUAGCAGUGAAAUGCGUAGAGAUGUGGAGGAAUACCGAUGGCGAAGGCAGCCUCCUGGGAUAACACUGACGUUCAUGCCCGAAAGCGUGGGUAGCAAACAGGAUUAGAUACCCUGGUAGUCCACGCCCUAAACGAUGUCGAUUAGCUGUUGGGCAGCAUGACCGCUUGGUAGCGGAGCUAACGCGUGAAAUCGACCGCCUGGGGAGUACGGUCGCAAGAUUAAAACUCAAAGGAAUUGACGGGGACCCGCACAAGCGGUGGAUGAUGUGGAUUAAUUCGAUGCAACGCGAAGAACCUUACCUGGUCUUGACAUGUACGGAACCCUUCAGAGACGGAGGGGUGCCUUCGGGAGCCGUAACACAGGUGCUGCAUGGCUGUCGUCAGCUCGUGUCGUGAGAUGUUGGGUUAAGUCCCGCAACGAGCGCAACCCUUGUCAUUAGUUGCCAUCAUUAAGUUGGGCACUCUAAUGAGACUGCCGGUGACAAGCCGGAGGAAGGUGGGGAUGACGUCAAGUCCUCAUGGCCCUUAUGACCAGGGCUUCACACGUCAUACAAUGGUCGGUACAGAGGCUAGCCAAGCCGCGAGGUGGAGCCAAUCUCACAAAACCGAUCGUAGUCCGGAUUGCACUCUGCAACUCGAGUGCAUGAAGUCGGAAUCGCUAGUAAUCGCAGGUCAGCAUACUGCGGUGAAUACGUUCCCGGGUCUUGUACACACCGCCCGUCACACCAUGGGAGUGGGGGAUACCAGAAGUA